AGGGAAAUAGCUCAGUGGUAGAGCUCAUGCUUAGCUUGCAUGAGGUCCUGGGUCCAGUCCUCAGUACCUCCA
Camelus ferus (Wild Bactrian camel) is the source of this 72-nucleotide transfer RNA. It matches the Rfam family "tRNA". Rfam says of the family: Transfer RNA (tRNA) molecules are approximately 80 nucleotides in length. The record is from Rfam. Lineage: Eukaryota; Metazoa; Chordata; Mammalia; Artiodactyla; Camelidae.